This 433-nucleotide ribosomal RNA is filed under the name uncultured bacterium. Its description in RNAcentral is "partial 16S ribosomal RNA". It matches the Rfam family "Bacterial small subunit ribosomal RNA", at positions 29 to 507 of the family's 1533-position model. The record is from RNAcentral.
AACGAACGCUGGCGGCAGGCCUAACACAUGCAAGUCGAGCGCGCCCUUCGGGGUGAGCGGCGGACGGGUGAGUAACGCGUGGGAACGUGCCCUUUUCUACGGAAUAGCCUCGGGAAACUGAGAGUAAUACCGUAUACGCCCUUUGGGGGAAAGAUUUAUCGGAAAAGGAUCGGCCCGCGUUGGAUUAGGUAGUUGGUGGGGUAAUGGCCUACCAAGCCGACGAUCCAUAGCUGGUUUGAGAGGAUGAUCAGCCACACUGGGACUGAGACACGGCCCAGACUCCUACGGGAGGCAGCAGUGGGGAAUCUUAGACAAUGGGGGCAACCCUGAUCUAGCCAUGCCGGGUGAGUGAUGAAGGCCUUAGGGUUGUAAAGCUCUUUCAGCUGGGAAGAUAAUGACGGUACCAGCAGAAGAAGCCCCGGCUAACUACGUG